Molecule: ribosomal RNA, 481 nt
Filed under: uncultured bacterium
Lineage: Bacteria
Description: partial 16S ribosomal RNA
Rfam family: Bacterial small subunit ribosomal RNA
Source: RNAcentral
GACGAACGUUGGCGGCGUGCUUAAUACAUGCAAGUCCACUGAAGCAGUGGUAGCAAUAUCGCUGUGGAGGUGGCGCACGGGUGAGUAACACGUAGGUAAUCUGCCUUCAGGUCUGGCAUAACUCCGGGAAACCGGGGCUAAUAGCAGAUGAUGCAGCGGCUCGACAUCGAGACAGUUGUUAAAGCUAUGGCGCCUGAAGAUGAGCCUGCGUCUGAUUAGCUAGUUGGCGGGGUAACGGCCCACCAAGGCAACGAUCAGUAGCUGGGCUGAGAGGAUGAUCAGCCACACUGGAACUGAGACACGGUCCAGACUCCUACGGGAGGCAGCAGUAAGGAAGAUUGCUCAAUGGGAGAAAUCCUGAAGCAGCAACGCCGCGUGAGGGACGAAGGGCUUUGGCUUGUAAACCUCUGUAGUGAGAGAAAAAAAUCCCAAUCUUUGGGACAUGAUGGUAUCUCAAAAGUAAGCCCCGGCUAACUACGUG